Molecule: ribosomal RNA, 663 nt
Filed under: Picocystis salinarum
Lineage: Eukaryota; Viridiplantae; Chlorophyta; Picocystophyceae; Picocystales; Picocystaceae
Description: partial Eukaryotic large subunit ribosomal RNA
Rfam family: Eukaryotic large subunit ribosomal RNA
Source: RNAcentral
GACCUCGGAUCAGGUAGGGAUACCCGCUGAACUUAAGCAUAUCAAUAAGCGGAGGAAAAGAAACCAACAGGGAUUACCUCAGUAACGGCGAGUGAAGCGGCAACAGCUCAAAUUUGAAAUCUGGCUCUUUCAGGGUCCGAGUUGUAAUCUGUAGAAGAUGCUUCGGGUGUGGCUCCGGUCUAAGUUCCUUGGAACAGGACGUCAUAGAGGGUGAGAAUCCCGUAUGUGACUGGUUGCCUUCGCCCAUGUGAAGCUCUUUCGACGAGUCGAGUUGUUUGGGAAUGCAGCUCUAAAUGGGUGGUAUAUUUCAUCUAAAGCUAAAUAUUGGCCAGAGACCGAUAGCGCACAAGUAGAGUGAUCGAAAGAUGAAAAGCACUUUGGAAAGAGAGUUAAACAGUACGUGAAAUUGUUGAAAGGGAAGCGCUUGCAACCAGACUUGCACCCCGUCGAUCAUCCCCCGUUCUCGGAGGUGCACUCGGCGGGGUUCAGGCCAGCAUCGGUUUCGGUGGUGGGAUAAAGGCCUUGGGAACGUAGCUCCUCUCGGGGAGUGUUAUAGCCCUCGGUGCAAUGCCGCCUACCGGGACCGAGGACCGCGCUUCGGCUAGGAUGCUGGCGUAAUGGUUGUAAGCGACCCGUCUUGAAACACGGACCAAGGAGUCUAAC